ACUAAACACCUUUUUUUUCAAACCAACCUCAGUUAAAAGUACUUUUUAUAAAACAACUUUUUUUAAAUCACAACCACAACAGCUACCGCAAUACCAAAUACUCUCUAAAUGAAAUAAU
Molecule: long non-coding RNA, 118 nt
Organism: Populus euphratica (Euphrates poplar)
Lineage: Eukaryota; Viridiplantae; Streptophyta; Magnoliopsida; Malpighiales; Salicaceae
Exons: 3
Source: RefSeq, a predicted model, not a curated record